This 425-nucleotide ribosomal RNA is filed under the name uncultured bacterium. Its description in RNAcentral is "partial 16S ribosomal RNA". It matches the Rfam family "Bacterial small subunit ribosomal RNA", at positions 354 to 796 of the family's 1533-position model. The record is from RNAcentral.
GUGGGGAAUAUUGGACAAUGGGCGCAAGCCUGACGCAGCCAUGCCGCGUGAAUGAUGAAGGUCUUAGGAUUGUAAAAUUCUUUCACCGGGGACGAUAAUGACGGUACCCGGAGAAGAAGCUCCGGCUAACUUCGUGCCAGCAGCCGCGGUAAUACGAAGGGGGCUAGCGUUGCUCGGAAUUACUGGGCGUAAAGGGCGCGUAGGCGGGCAGCUUAGUCAGAGGUGAAAGCCCAGGGCUCAACCUUGGAAUUGCCUUUGAUACUGGCUGUCUUGAGUUUGGGAGAGGUGAGUGGAACUCCGAGUGUAGAGGUGAAAUUCGUAGAUAUUCGGAAGAACACCAGUGGCGAAGGCGACUCACUGGCCCAAUACUGACGCUGAGGCGCGAAAGCGUGGGGAGCAAACAGGAUUAGAUACCCCAGUAGUCC